This 479-nucleotide ribosomal RNA is filed under the name uncultured bacterium. Its description in RNAcentral is "bacterial SSU rRNA". It matches the Rfam family "Bacterial small subunit ribosomal RNA", at positions 29 to 507 of the family's 1533-position model. The record is from RNAcentral.
ACGAACGCUGGCGGCGUGCCUAACACAUGCAAGUCAACUUGAGGGAAGGAGCAAUCUGACCUGAUGGUGGUGCAAGGGUGCGUAACGCGUAAGUAACUUGCCCCAAGGUAAGGAAUAACGUCGAGAAAUCGGCGCUAAUACCUCAUAAUGCAGCGGAUCCGCAUGGAUAUGUUGUUAAAGGUUUACCGCCUUGGGAUAGGCUUGCGUCUGAUUAGCUAGUUGGUGUGGUAAUGGCACACCAAGGCUACGAUCAGUAACUGGUCUGAGAGGAUGAUCAGUCACACUGGAACUGAGACACGGUCCAGACUCCUACGGGAGGCAGCAGUGAGGAAUAUUGGGCAAUGCACGAAAGUGUGACCCAGCAACGCCGCGUGGAGGAUGAAGGUAUUCUAUAUCGUAAACUCCUGUGAGAGCAGACGAAAGACAGAUUAUUAAUUUGGAUGACUGUAUGCUCAGAGGAAGCCCCGGCUAACUACGUG